RNAcentral lists this ribosomal RNA (408 nucleotides) under Argopecten irradians (bay scallop). Its description in RNAcentral is "partial 12S ribosomal RNA". It matches the Rfam family "Bacterial small subunit ribosomal RNA", at positions 874 to 1419 of the family's 1533-position model. Lineage: Eukaryota; Metazoa; Mollusca; Bivalvia; Pectinida; Pectinidae. The record is from RNAcentral.
ACUUUGCUUCUCAUCGCUGCUUGGGUACUACGAGCAUGUGCUUAAAACUCAAAGAACUUGGCGGCUUGUUAACUACCUAGGGGAAUAUGUGCCUUAAUCCGAUAGUCCUCGACAUAUUUUACUGGGCCUUGAAAAAUCAGUUGGUGUAUUGCCGUUGUCAGCCUGUUGUUGAGCAAAGAGAAACAGGCUUAAAGGAUUCUUUUAAAAGUAGAAGAGUUCCUUGAAUUCAGGUCGUAAUACUGCCUAUGGCUCUAGGGAGUGGGUGUUACAAUUUUAAAUUGAAAUACGGACCUUUUUAUGAAAAAGAAGCGAAGGUGAACUUAGGAGUAAGGGAAGAUUAGUAUGCUCCCCUGAACGUGAAUCUAGCUUGUGUACAAACUGCCCGUCGCUCUCGGUAAGAGCUGAGAU